AUUGAACGCUGGCGGCAGGCCUAACACAUGCAAGUCGAACGAGUGGCAGACGGGUGUGUAGUGUCUGAGAAACUGCCUGAUGGAGGGGGAUAACUACUGGAAACGAUAUCUAAUCCCGCAUAACAUAAGAUGUCCCCAUUUGGGAUUAGCUAGUGGGUGGGGUAACGGCUCACCAAGGCGACGAUCCCUAGCUGGUCUGAGAGGAAGACCAGCCACACUGGAACUGAGACACGGUCCAGACUCCUACGGGAGGCAGCAGUGGGGAAUAUUGCACAAUGGGCGCAAGCCUGAUGCAGCCAUGCCGCGUGUGUGAAGAAGGCCUUCGGGUUGUAAAGUACUUUCAGCGGGGAGGCGUUACCCGCAGAAGAAGCACCGGCUAACUCCGUGCCAGCAGCCGCGGUAAUAC
RNAcentral lists this ribosomal RNA (406 nucleotides) under uncultured bacterium. RNAcentral describes it as "partial 16S ribosomal RNA". It matches the Rfam family "Bacterial small subunit ribosomal RNA", at positions 30 to 526 of the family's 1533-position model. The record is from RNAcentral.